AUAUAUACACAAGGAUGUUUAUUGCAGCAUUGUUCAUAGUGGGGAAAAAAGAAACUGGAAAUUGUGAAUGCCCAUCUGCAGAAAUGAUUGAAUAAAUUAUAAUACACCAUAAACGACAAUCCAUUCAUUCCGAAUGAACUGCAGAAAUUUCCAUAAGGUAUUUGAGUGAAAGAAAAGCAAGUUGCAGAAAAGUAGCUAUAACAUACUGCAGUUGUGUUUAAAAAAUAAAAAGACACCAUAUAUAAUGUGUGUGUGUAGGUCUUUAAAUAUUUUGUCUAUACACAACUUAUGCAAGCAUGGAGAGAAAUAUGGAAGGUUACAAACAGGUAGCAUGAGUUGGGGGUGAGGUGGGGAAUGAUGAUGCUAGGGAAUGGGUAACCAAAGAAAAUUUAAAAGAAAUUAAGAAUUCACUUUUAAAAACUGGGCAUUUGUUACCACAUUUUUGCAUUUAUGUAAAAUCUUUAAAAAGAAAUAUACAAAGAAAAAAGAUAAAGGAGAAAGUGUAAAAACAGAAUGACUGUUUUGAGAUGGUAGAAAAUCCUUACCUGUAGAAAAUAUCACAAAACAUCAAUAGUUAACUAUGUCAUAUUGGUGCUUAAAUGAGAAGCAUAAGAACUGGAAAGUGUCCAUUAGAUUUGGCAAUAUCCAUGAAGCUGGUGACAAAAUUGACAAAAUCAAUCUGAAUGAACUGAAGCAGAAGGCAUAUUAAAGUGGGUGGAGAGUUAGUAAGGUUAAGAGUAAAGGUGGAAAAAGGAAUGCUGACAGUUCUCUUGCUAAUGACAACUAAAAAAAAAAAAUCAAUAAAAAUAUAAAAUAUAACUUCUUAAAGGCACCAGAAAGCUGAAAAGGCAGUGAUGAAUUUCUAUGCCAAGACGUAACAGAAGACAAACUUGUGAGCCAGGCAUUUGAAACCACUUAACCCUCGGAAUGUUUACUGAUUCUACAAGAGGUAAAAAGAUUAAACAGCAUUUUUGAUAGCUUAGCAUGGCUAGGAAGACACAACCUGGGGUUGACAAAAGCUAAUGCUGGCAAACUCUAGCAAAAUUCCCACAUUUUGAGUUGAGACCCCAAGAGCAUCACUUAAGAAAUAAUAGAGUUGAUUUGUUUUUGAAAUCAGAAUUACCUUUGAUGGGAGUAUGCAGCAUAAAUAAAUAUACAAGCAAAUGAGACAUGACAACAUGAACUGGUGUUAGCAAAAUUAAUGAAGCAAUAGAAACACACCCACAGGAGCUGCAGUUGCGGUUUAAGAGUUCACUAGAUGUACAGCUUGACAUACUAUGUUUAAAAUGUUCAAGACAAUACAGACAACUCUGGGAAUUUCAAAGGGAGCUAGGGAUAAAAAGAAUAAUUUAAAAAGAACUGAACCAAAUUUGUAAAAUUGAAAAAUACACAAUGAAAUUAAUAACUCAAUAUCAGAACAAUACUAAACUGGAAAACAAGGAAAUAUCUAGAAAAAAAAUACAAAGAGAUUAUAGAGGGGAAAAUUAUAAAUAGAGACUGCACAAUUAGCAAUUAAAGGUCAAAUAAGUAUAAAUGGAGUUCCAAAAGGAGAAUUAUGCAGACGUAGAUUGGAAGAUAAUUUUCUAAAUGGUGAAAGGUAGUAAGCUAUAGACUCAAGAGGUUCUGCAGACACUAAACAGGGAGAAUACAAAAAACUAAAGACAAAAUAAAACACCCCAGGCAUAUCAUAGUAAAACUGCUAAAAGACAAACAGAAAAACUUUUAAAAAGCAGUUAGUAGAAAAAAUACAUACUAAAAUGUUACCUUUUCAGUAGAAAAGAAUGGAUUUUUCAAAAAAAAAAAUCCCUUCAACAUGCUAAAAAGAAAUAACUACCAAUCUAAAUUUUUAUACCGGGAUCCCUGGGUGGCACAGCGGUUUGGCGCCUGCCUUUGGCCCAGGGCGCGAUCCUGGAGACCCGGGAUCAAAUCCCACGUCGGGCUCCCGGUGCAUGGAGCCUGCUUCUCCCUCUGCCUAUGUCUCUGCCUCUCUCUCUCUGUGACUAUCAUAAAUAAUAAAUAAAAUUAAAAAAAAUAUUAAAAAAUAUUUUUUAUACCCAGCAAAACUACCAUUUAUUAUCAGGCAAACAAAAGUUUGAUGAAAUUAAUCAAGAGUAGAACAACUGAAAGAAAUACUAAGGGUUUUUCUUUGGUCUAAGAAAAAAAAAAAAAAAAGAUCCCCAAUGAAAACUUGAAAAUGUGAUAAAAAGGAUGAAAAGCAAUGAUAAUGGUAAAAAUGUAUAUACAGAUCUUCCUUAUGAUGGGGUUAUGUCCCAAUAAACUCACUGUAAUUUGGAAAUAUCGUAAGUCAAAAAUGCAUUUAAAACCAACUAAACAUCAUAGCUUAGCCUGCCUUCAACAUGCUGAGAACACUUAUAUUAACCUAUAGCUGGGCAAAAACUUUUAACACAAAGCCUAUUUUAUAAUAAAGUGUUGAAUGUCUCAUGUAAUUUAUUCAGUACUGUCCUGAAAGUGACAGAAUGUUUGUAAGCUUUCUAAUUGUUUACAACAUGAUGACAUGCCUGAAUGGGAGCCGUGGCUUGCUGCUACUGCCAGGAACACAUGAGUGUAUCACACUACAGUAUCAGUAGCCCAGGAAAAGAGCAAAACUCAAAACACAAAGUAUAGUUUCUACUGAUUGGUAUUGAUUUCACAUUGUCAUAAGGUUGAAAAAUUUUAAGUCAAACCAUCAUUGUCAGGGACCAUCUUUAUGGCUAAAUGCAUAGCGGUUGUAUAAAACAAUACUUUCUUGUUGGAGUUAAUAAUGAUCUAUAAUUAAAAUCCAACAACAAUAGCAUAUGGGUUGGGAGAGAAGUGAAGAUUUAUUUGCACUGUCUGGGAAAAUGAUAAAAGUACCAAGUAACAUUAGAGAAGGAUAAGUCUAGUAUGUGAGCUGUAACCUAGUGUAUCAAUAAAAGAAUGGUAAAAAAGUGUGAUUUCCAAAUUAAUAGAAAACUAAAUAUUUCUAGAAAAUAUAUUUUCUAACUAUUUAGUUUCUUUCUAAAACUAAAAAGAAAAUCAUAGAAAAAGGAGCACACACACACACACACACACAAACACACACACAAAGCCAGAAAAAAAUAAAACUACAUAGUAAGAUGGUUUACUUAACCCCAAAUAUAUUGGCAAUUACAUUAAAUGUAAAUGUGAAUGUUUAAAUUAACAGGUAAGGAGGGUUAAAUGGAUUUAAAAAACAAAAAACAAAAACAAACAAAAAACAAAAACAAAAACAAAACCCCAAAACUACAUGCUAUUUACAAGAGAGACAUUUGUAAGGUUUAUAAAAGGUUUAAAGAAAAAAGCACACCAUGCAACCACUAGCCAAAUGAAAGCUGACACACAUCAAAGCAAAAAGCAUUGCCAGAAACACAGAGAACACUUAAAAAAAUUUUUUUAAAUGGUUCAAUUCACCAGGGAUACAAAUCAACUCUAAAUUUAUAAGCAACUAAUAAUAUUGCCUCAAAUUAUAAAAACUGAUAUAACCAGAAUAGGCAAAUUCAAAAUCAUAGUGGGAUAUUCUAACUUACCUCAUAAAUACUCAAUAUAUAUAUAAAUUUAAACAACAGAAUUGAUCUAAUGAAUGUAUGUAGGACACUUAAUAACUGCAGUAUAUGGAUUUUUUCUCAUGCAUACUGAACAAAUUGACCAUAUUGUGAGUCAUAAAAGAAAGCCUCACAAAUUUGAACAAUUGAAAUGACAGGUUUGUUCUCUGAAUGCCAUGCAAUCAAUCUAAAAAUCAACAAAGUGGUAAUGAGAAAAUCCACAUGUAUUUGGAAAUAAAUAUAUUUCUAAAUAAUCAGUAAGUCACACAGAAAGAAAAAUGGAGAUUAGAACAUACAUUUUACUGAAUGGUGAUGAAAAGACUUCAUCUCAAAAUUUAUGGGAUGCAGAUAAAGAUUG
RNAcentral lists this long non-coding RNA (3897 nucleotides) under Canis lupus familiaris (dog). Its description in RNAcentral is "lncRNA (ENSCAFG00000059361.1)". Lineage: Eukaryota; Metazoa; Chordata; Mammalia; Carnivora; Canidae. The record is from RNAcentral.